RNAcentral lists this transfer RNA (74 nucleotides) under Nephila pilipes (giant wood spider). It matches the Rfam family "tRNA". Rfam says of the family: Transfer RNA (tRNA) molecules are approximately 80 nucleotides in length. Their secondary structure includes four short double-helical elements and three loops (D, anti-codon, and T loops). The record is from Rfam by way of RNAcentral. Lineage: Eukaryota; Metazoa; Arthropoda; Arachnida; Araneae; Nephilidae.
GGCCUUUUAGCUCAGUUGGUUAGAGCGUCGUGCUAAUAACGCGAAGGUCGAGGGUUCGAUCCCCCCACGGGCCA